Molecule: ribosomal RNA, 482 nt
Filed under: uncultured bacterium
Lineage: Bacteria
Description: bacterial SSU rRNA
Rfam family: Bacterial small subunit ribosomal RNA
Source: RNAcentral
UUGAACGCUGGCGGAAUGCUUUACACAUGCAAGUCGAGCGGCAGCGCGGGGGCAACCCUGGCGGCGUGCGGCGAACGGGUGAGUAAUACAUCGGAACGUACCCAGUUGUGGGGGAUAGCCCGGCGAAAGCCGGAUUAAUACCGCAUAAGUCCUGAGGGAGAAAGCGGGGGACCGUAAGGCCUCGCGCGAUUGGAGCGGCCGAUGUUCGAUUAGCUAGUUGGUGGGGUAAAGGCUCACCAAGGCGACGAUCCGUAGCGGGUCUGAGAGGAUGAUCCGCCACACUGGGACUGAGACACGGCCCAGACUCCUACGGGAGGCAGCAGUGGGGAAUUUUGGACAAUGGGCGAAAGCCUGAUCCAGCCAUGCCGCGUGAGUGAAGAAGGCCUUCGGGUUGUAAAGCUCUUUCGGCGGGGAAGAAAUCGCAUUCUCUAAUACAGGAUGUGGAUGACGGUACCCGAAUAAGAAGCACCGGCUAACUACGU